GCAGUGGGCCAGACGAUCGCCCGCCUUCGCUCGCUCCGCGAGCUUCGGCGGGGCAAGCCCGUUGAUGGAAUCACCAUCACGAGCCUGCUCCGCCGUAGCCCGCGAAGCGGGCGGAGGCGAGAGGAAAGUCCGAACUCCGCAGGGCAGUGCGCCGGCUAACGGCCGGUCAGGGCAACCUGAAGGAAAGUGGCACAGAAAAUACACAGCCCACGUUGGCGGGCCUGAAAAGGCCCGCCCUACGGUCGUCCGUAGGCCGGCCCUUUCAGGGCCGGCGGCAGGCAAUGGUGAAAAGGUGCGGUAAGAGCGCACCGCGCCCGUGGCAACACGGGUGGCAGGCAAAACCCCGCAUGGAGCAAGGCCAAAUAGGGAAGCGAUAAGGACGGCCCGUCCGAAGCUUCCGGGUAGGCUGCUGGAUCCCGCCAGUAAUGGCGGGGCUAGAGGAAUGAUCGUCACGCCAUAGCCGCGGCCGUGAGGCCGCGGCGACGGCGGACAGAAUUCGGCUUACGGUCCACUGCGGCG
This 519-nucleotide RNase P RNA is filed under the name Acidobacteria bacterium RIFCSPLOWO2_02_FULL_67_36. Its description in RNAcentral is "RNase P RNA component class A". It matches the Rfam family "Bacterial RNase P class A". From Rfam's summary of the family: Ribonuclease P (RNase P) is a ubiquitous endoribonuclease, found in archaea, bacteria and eukarya as well as chloroplasts and mitochondria. Its best characterised activity is the generation of mature 5'-ends of tRNAs by cleaving the 5'-leader elements of precursor-tRNAs. The record is from RNAcentral. Lineage: Bacteria; Pseudomonadati; Acidobacteriota.